UACGUAGGGUGCGAGCGUUGUCCGGAAUUAUUGGGCGUAAAGAGCUCGUAGGCGGCUUGUUACGUCGGAUGUGAAAGCCCGGGGCUUAACUCCGGGUCUGCAUUCGAUACGGGCAGGCUAGAGUUCGGUAGGGGAGAUCGGAAUUCCUGGUGUAGCGGUGAAAUGCGCAGAUAUCAGGAGGAACACCGGUGGCGAAGGCGGAUCUCUGGGCCGAUACUGACGCUGAGGAGCGAAAGCGUGGGGAGCGAACAGG
Molecule: ribosomal RNA, 253 nt
Filed under: uncultured bacterium
Lineage: Bacteria
Description: partial 16S ribosomal RNA
Rfam family: Bacterial small subunit ribosomal RNA
Source: RNAcentral